CUGCGAAAGCAUGAAACAUUAUUAGAAAGAAUUGAAGAGCAAUCUUCAGUUCGAGUACAAGUGUGUUUAUGGCCUCGUUGUUUAGUGGGGAGAGUUCUAUGGUGAGACGUCAGUUUCGGCAUGCUCUUUACGGUAGACAACAUGGGUUAUCUUGCGCAAGCAAGGAGCCUGAACAGUCUCACAUCAGACAUCUAGCGAUUCUGCGUGUGAGCAUUGAAGGAUUUAGUGGAUUACUAGCCGAUGGCAAGUGUUCAACUAAAAACUUACUUGGGGGUCUGCGGCAUUGAAUAGCCGGAUUUAGUUCUGUGAUUCUCUGCUUGUAACCUCCUCCAUGGUUGGUUAUGUUGAACCUCUUGUGCAGCGCAUGGGAGUGUUUAGCGGACAUCAUACCAGGGGAAUUCAAAGAGGGCUAUAUGGAUGUAGGAUGUUUGCAGGUGGUCUUUCAUUAGACUGGGCUGUGGGCACCUACCGACUGAUUUCGAUCAGUUGCAAUUAUAUCAAAUAACUUCAGUCGGGAAGACUUGCAGCGAUGCGAGUUGGAACGGCGAUGUGGGCUCUUGCGAGCCUUCAAGAUAGUUACCUGGUUGAUUCUGCCAGU
Molecule: ribosomal RNA, 598 nt
Filed under: Hansenula anomala
Lineage: Eukaryota; Fungi; Ascomycota; Saccharomycetes; Phaffomycetales; Wickerhamomycetaceae
Description: Wickerhamomyces anomalus partial small subunit ribosomal RNA
Source: RNAcentral